GCGAAGGUGGCGGAAUUGGUAGACGCGCUAGCUUCAGGUGUUAGUGUUCUUACGGACGUGGGGGUUCAACGUCCCCCCCUCGCACCA
This 87-nucleotide transfer RNA is filed under the name Escherichia coli EPECa12. Its description in RNAcentral is "tRNA-Leu". The record is from RNAcentral. Lineage: Bacteria; Pseudomonadati; Pseudomonadota; Gammaproteobacteria; Enterobacterales; Enterobacteriaceae.